GAUGAACGCUGGCGGCGUGCCUAAUACAUGCAAGUCGAGCGAACGGACGAGAAGCUUGCUUCUCUGAGGUUAUCGGCGGACGGGUGAGUAACACGUGGAUAACCUACCUAUAAGACUGGGAUAACUACGGGAAACCGGAGCUAAUACCGGAUAAUAUUUUGAACCUGAUGGGGCAAAAGUGAAAGAAGGUCUUGCUGUCACUUAUAGAUUGAUCCGCGCUGCAUUCGUAAGUUGGUAAGGUCAAUGCUUAGCAAAGCAACGAUGGAUAACGGACCUGAGAGGGACGACCGACAGCCGGGCAGUGAGACACGUCCCAGACUCCUACGGUAGGACGCGGUACGGAAUCUUCCGCAAUGGGCGAAAGCCUAAUGGAGCACAGCCGGGUGAAUGAUGAUCGUCCUCGGAUCGUUAAGUUAUGUUAUUAGGGAAGAAGAAAUGUGUAAGUACCUGUGAACAUCUUGACGGUACCUAAUCAGAAAGCUACGGCUAACUACGUG
RNAcentral lists this ribosomal RNA (497 nucleotides) under uncultured bacterium. RNAcentral's name for it is "partial 16S ribosomal RNA". It matches the Rfam family "Bacterial small subunit ribosomal RNA", at positions 28 to 507 of the family's 1533-position model. The record is from RNAcentral.